RNAcentral lists this ribosomal RNA (350 nucleotides) under uncultured bacterium. RNAcentral's name for it is "bacterial SSU rRNA". It matches the Rfam family "Bacterial small subunit ribosomal RNA", at positions 355 to 697 of the family's 1533-position model. The record is from RNAcentral.
UGGGGAAUAUUGCACAAUGGGGGAAACCCUGAUGCAGCCAUGCCGCGUGUGUGAAGAAGGCCUUCGGGUUGUAAAGCACUUUCAGUCGUGAGGAAAGGGGUGUAGUUAAUAACUGCAUCCUGUGACGUUAGCGACAGAAGAAGCACCGGCUAACUCCGUGCCAGCAGCCGCGGUAAUACGGAGGGUGCAAGCGUUAAUCGGAAUUACUGGGCGUAAAGCGUGCGUAGGCGGAUUAUUAAGUCAGAUGUGAAAUCCCGGGGCUCAACCUCGGAACUGCAUUUGAAACUGGUAGUCUAGAGUAUUGUAGAGGGUGGUGGAAUUUCCAGUGUAGCGGUGAAAUGCGUAGAGAU